RNAcentral lists this long non-coding RNA (699 nucleotides) under Heterocephalus glaber (naked mole-rat). RNAcentral describes it as "lncRNA (ENSHGLG00000038250.1)". The record is from RNAcentral. Lineage: Eukaryota; Metazoa; Chordata; Mammalia; Rodentia; Bathyergidae.
UGAUGCCAUUUAACUGCCACCUACUCCCAGGCCAUCCAUUCAGCCAUGAAGUCUCUGCUCCUGGUCUUUGCAGCCCUCAGAUUCCUAGCCGAGCUGGCCUCAGGUAAACUGGGUGGAGAAGGGUAAAGGAAGGACAGGAACACUAGCAGAUCUGGCUGCUCUAGUGACAAGCAAGCCAGGUUGGAAGGAGGCAGGGCUCACCCCGCUGAGUUCCAAUCUAAGCUGACCGGGGUGGAACAAGACUUGCACAGAACGACCUGGGAGAGUGCAGUCUGAUAUGCAGCUGGAACGAGUGGCUGACACUUCUGUAUGACAGAUGUCUCAAGAGCCUGAUACAGGGACUUGCAAAGAGUGAAUUAGUGAAUGAAUGAAUGAAUCUUCUCCCAGUUGUAAGUAAACUUAUCCAGCCAUACUGGCCUCCCAGAUAUUCUUCAAGCACACUCCAGACCUACUCCUUUUCCAGGCCUUCGAACCUGUAGGCUCCCUGUUUCACUUUGCUGAGGUCUUUGAUCAACUAUCACCUUAGUGAGGCUUUCUUUGACUACUCUAUUUAAAAUUCCUGGGUUGGAGAUGUCUAUAAAUCAUUUGCCUAGCAUAUGUGCAGCCCUGGAUUCAACCCCCCAGCACUCCAAAAAUAAAAGUUUUUAAAUUUAAAUUUUUCUUAAUUAAAAAAAUAAAAUUGAAAGUACUUACCCCAAG